AGGACGAACGCUGGCGGCGUGCUUAACACAUGCAAGUCGAGCGGAAAGGCCCUUCGGGGUACUCGAGCGGCGAACGGGUGAGUAACACGUGAGCAACCUGCCCUUAGCUCUGGGAUAGCUCCGGGAAACCGGAAUUAAUACCGGAUACGACCUAGGCCGACAUCGGCCAUGGUGGAAAGUUUUUCGGCUAGGGAUGGACUCGCGGCCUAUCAGCUAGUUGGUGGGGUAAAGGCCUACCAAGGCGACGACGGGUAGCCGGCCUGAGAGGGCGACCGGCCACACUGGGACUGAGACACGGCCCAGACUCCUACGGGAGGCAGCAGUGGGGAAUCUUGCGCAAUGGGCGAAAGCCUGACGCAGCGACGCCGCGUGGGGAUGAAGGCCUUCGGGUUGUAAACCCCUUUCAGCAGGGACGAAGCGAAAGUGACGGUACCUGCAGAAGAAGCGCCGGCUAACUACGUGCCAGCAGCCGC
This 473-nucleotide ribosomal RNA is filed under the name uncultured bacterium. RNAcentral's name for it is "SSU rRNA". It matches the Rfam family "Bacterial small subunit ribosomal RNA", at positions 26 to 518 of the family's 1533-position model. The record is from RNAcentral.